RNAcentral lists this small RNA (721 nucleotides) under Pan troglodytes (chimpanzee). Its description in RNAcentral is "processed transcript". Lineage: Eukaryota; Metazoa; Chordata; Mammalia; Primates; Hominidae. The record is from RNAcentral.
CCCGACGUCACUCCGUCUCGCCCUGCCCCGGCGGGGGGUCAGGAUCCUCCACAGUUCCUGAUGAAUAUCUGUUAUCGCUGAAGUUUCUCUUUGGCUCAUCAGCCACCCAGGCCUUGGACCUAGUUGAUCGACAGUCCAUCACCUUAAUCUCAUCACCCAGUGGAAGGCGUGUUUACCAGGUCCUUGGAAGUUCCGGUAAAACAUACACAUGUUUGGCUUCUUGUCAUUACUGUUCAUGUCCUGCAUUUGCCUUCUCAGUGCUACGGAAGAGUGACAGCAUCCUGUGCAAGCAUCUCUUGGCAGUUUACCUGAGUCAGGUUAUGAGGACCUGUCAGCAGCUAAGUGUCUCUGACAAGCAGUUGACUGACAUAUUAUUGAUGGAGAAGAAACAAGAAGCAUAAAAGGACUGCAGGAGGUGCUGUGGGUUGGAGCCGUGGGCUGUGGAGGGUUUGUGUAUGAUGAGAAGCCCUGUACAGUCUUCUCAAGAAAAACCCUGAGCCAGUCUCUGAGACGCUUCGAUGGAGUCUCACUUUGUCGCCCAGGCUGAGGUGCAGUGGCGUGAUCUCAGCUCACUGCAAGCUCCGCCUCCCAGGUUCACGCCAUUCUCCUGCCUCAGCCUCCCAAGUAGCUGGGACUACAGGGCAAUUGAAGGAACAGACUAAAAAUCGUGUCCUGGAAGGAAACUACAGGUACUACCAGGGAUUUUCAGUCUGAAGAAGAA